RNAcentral lists this ribosomal RNA (253 nucleotides) under uncultured bacterium. Its description in RNAcentral is "partial 16S ribosomal RNA". It matches the Rfam family "Bacterial small subunit ribosomal RNA", at positions 524 to 776 of the family's 1533-position model. RNAcentral also lists the same sequence under 1 other name. The record is from RNAcentral.
GACGGAGGAUGCAAGCGUUAUCCGGAAUUAUUGGGCGUAAAGCGUCCGCAGGUGGCUGUUCAAGUCUGCUGUCAAAGCGCAGAGCUUAACUCUGUACAGGCGGUGGAAACUGAAGAGCUAGAGUAUGGUAGGGGUAGAGGGAAUUCCCGGUGUAGCGGUGAAAUGCGUAGAUAUCGGGAAGAACACCAGUGGCGAAAGCGCUCUACUGGGCCAUAACUGACACUGAGGGACGAAAGCUAGGGGAGCGAAAGGG